UUGAGAUUUGGGUGUUGGUUGAACUUGGGUUUGUGGUGUUUUUGAACUUGAGUUUGUGUCUUUGUUGAACUUGAGUUUGUGGCGUGUUUUAACUUGAGUUUCUGUUGUUUUUGAACUUGAAGUUGUGGAAAUUGUUGAACUUGAGAUUUGGGAUUUGGUUGAACUUGACUUUGUUUCAUGUUUGAACUUGAGUUUGGGGUGUUUUUGAACUUGAACUUGUGUGUUUUUUGAACUUGAGUUUGUGUUGUUAAGAACUUGAGUUUGUGGUGUUUUUGAAAUUGAGUUUGUGUGUUUGUUGAACUUGAGGUUGUGGCAAUUGUUAAACUUGAUAUUUGGGUGUUGGUUGAACUUCAAACUUUGGAAUUUGUUGAUCUUGAGUUUGUGGUGUUCGUUGAAUUCAGUUUCAGCAUUUUUUUAACUUGAGUUUGUGUGUUUUUGAACUUGAGUUUGUGGCAAUUUUUGAACUUGAGUUUGUUGAACUUGAGUUUUUGGCA
Xyrichtys novacula (pearly razorfish) is the source of this 494-nucleotide non-coding RNA. Lineage: Eukaryota; Metazoa; Chordata; Actinopteri; Labriformes; Labridae. The record is from the annotation of a GenBank genome assembly.